CAAGCCUGAUGGAGCAACACCGCGUGAGUGAAGAAGGGUUUCGGCUCGUAAAGCUCUGUUGUUGGAGAAGAACGUGCGUGAGAGUAACUGUUCACGCAGUGACGGUAUCCAACCAGAAAGUCACGGCUAUCUACGUGCCAGCAGCCGCGGUAAUACGUAGGUGGCAAGCGUUAUCUGGAUUUAUUGGGCGUAAAGCGAGCGCAGGCGGUUGCUUAGGUCUGAUGUGAAAGCCUUCGGCUUAACCGAAGAAGGGCAUCGGAAACCGGGCGACUUGAGUGCAGAAGAGGACAGUGGAACUCCAUGUGUAGCGGUGGAAUGCGUAGAUAUAUGGAAGAACACCAGUGGCGAAGGCGGCUGUCUGGUCUGCAACUGACGCUGAGGCUCGAAAGCAUGGGUAGCGAACAGGAUUAGAUACCCUGGUAGUCCAUGCCGUAAACGAUGAGUGCUAGGUGUUGGAGGGUUUCCGCCCUUCAGUGCCGGAGCUAACGCAUUAAGCACUCCGCCUGGGGAGUACGACCGCAAGGUUGAAACUCAAAGGAAUUGACGGGGGCCCGCACAAGCGGUGGAGCAUGUGGUUUAAUUCGAAGCUACGCGAAGAACCUUACCAGGGUCUUGACAUCUUGC
RNAcentral lists this ribosomal RNA (624 nucleotides) under Limosilactobacillus vaginalis. Its description in RNAcentral is "bacterial SSU rRNA". It matches the Rfam family "Bacterial small subunit ribosomal RNA", at positions 378 to 992 of the family's 1533-position model. Lineage: Bacteria; Bacillati; Bacillota; Bacilli; Lactobacillales; Lactobacillaceae. The record is from RNAcentral.